UGUUUAGUUUUGGAUUUGGGGUUUGGAGGCCAUGUUUGUUUGUUUGUUGGAUUGUGAUCCUGGGAUUGUGGUUGUGGUAGAGGCCAAGUUUGUAGUCAAGGAGUUGCAUCCUGGAGGCCAUGUUUAUUGGCUGCAUCGUAGUCUUGGAGUUGUGGUUGUGGUGGAGGUCACGUUUACACAAUAGCUGCUGGCCCCUGCUGCUGGUCACCAGUGUGAAAAAUCCGUGGCUCUGCCACUGGGACUGUGAGCUGGACUUGGGACAGACUUGGCAAUGUGGCACUCGAUGUUGGAGGCUGCCACAGUUCAACUCUUCAACAAGUGUUCAAGAAAUAUGGCGAUGAUGAUGAGGCACGCUAGUGAUGCUCGGUGCUCGCAAAUUCUGUAAACAUUGGAUUGGACUUUUAUAAAGAUCUUUUUAUAAAUAAUAAAUGAGAGCUUUUUCUUCUUAUAGCAACCAGGAUAAAUUAUAUUGGAUAACCAACUUUGUUUCGUUGUGUGUGUGUGUGUGUGUGUGUGUGUGUGUGUGUGUGUGUGUGUGUGUGUGUGUGUGUGUGUGAGAGAGAGAGAGAGAGAGAGAGAGAGAGAGAGAGAGACCCUGUGGUGAACGAUCAGAGAAAAGUCUGAUCUCCCACAUGGAUCACAGAUGCCCCAUUAAACAACACAGACGUCUCCCUGUGGGCACAGAGAGAUUAAAUAAUCACACACUGGGAACCCCUGCUGAGAUCUUCCCACUCGCUUGACGUUCCAGCUGUGGCACAGCCCAAACACAUCCAUCACACACUUCAAACGUAUCUGAUGGGUCUACAAUGGAUAUGUUACACUUCUAAUAUUUUGUAGCCAUCAGAAAAGCUGUCAUUGGUAUGAACCCACAAAGCCUCAGUGCAUCUAGGUGCCAUCUUCUCCUGCUAAGCCACGCCCACACACCACACACACCAGGCCACCUGCUUCCAGUGCCCCAUUUCUGAAGUUUUGGCAGAUGCCCU
This is a long non-coding RNA of Silurus meridionalis, 983 nucleotides long. RefSeq lists it as uncharacterized. The record is from RefSeq and is a predicted model, not a curated record. The transcript is spliced from 3 exons. NCBI's taxonomy places the organism in Eukaryota, Metazoa, Chordata, Actinopteri, Siluriformes, Siluridae.